UUAGAUCUCCAAUCAGGCAGGA
This 22-nucleotide ribosomal RNA is filed under the name Sporobolomyces johnsonii. Its description in RNAcentral is "partial 26S rRNA". Lineage: Eukaryota; Fungi; Basidiomycota; Microbotryomycetes; Sporidiobolales; Sporidiobolaceae. The record is from RNAcentral.